This 773-nucleotide long non-coding RNA is filed under the name Ananas comosus (pineapple). Its description in RNAcentral is "long non-coding RNA (ACOM_LNC005882)". The record is from RNAcentral. Lineage: Eukaryota; Viridiplantae; Streptophyta; Magnoliopsida; Poales; Bromeliaceae.
UCAUUUAAAAAUAAACUUAGCUGAAAAUGUGAAUCAACUUAGGUCUCGGAUACCAACCACCAAGCCCUUUGCCACUUGUUCUAGAGACGGUCGGUUUUUUUCAGUUUGAGUUGAUCUUUAAAUUUUUCAACCCAAUUUGAACUAGAAUUUUUUAUUUUAAAAUUUUUUAUUAGUCAUAUCAAAUAAUUAGUGAGUGACUCCCACCUAUUAAAUAGAUUGAGUGUAAGAUAUACACUACUUUUAGAUGUAUGAAUAGUACUGCUGAAAACCGAAUCUGCGCGCUUAACUUUAUUAAUUUUUUGAACCUAACCACCACCCAAAAUACUAUAGUUGGAUUUAGAGUUUUUAACCCUAUUAUAUUUUAUAUUUUAUAUAUAGGAUUAUCUGAAGUCUUACAUCCUCCCCCUUUUUAAGUCUUGACGUUCUCGUCAAGCUCAAACUCAUAAGUACUAAAUGAUGUAAGAUUCGUCUCGCCAGUCUCAGCCGAUCUUAUGGUAAGCCGCACUCUACCUACAACAGUCAUCAGUACAAAAGUGUGACUCUCCCUGUUAUAUAACCUGACUCAACCGAGACUCAUUUCACACUUCCGCCUAGUAAUUAGCUCUGAUACCAACUGUGACGCCUUCCUUUCCAGGGGGUCACCCAUGUUAGGACUAUUCUAAUCUUAGCACGCUUAACUCUCUUAACUUUUUUGAUCUAACCACCGUCCAAAAUACUAUAGGCAAGUUUAAAAUUUUAAUCAUAUUAUAUUUUACAUAUAGUACUAGCUGAAG